RNAcentral lists this ribosomal RNA (253 nucleotides) under uncultured bacterium. Its description in RNAcentral is "partial 16S ribosomal RNA". It matches the Rfam family "Bacterial small subunit ribosomal RNA", at positions 524 to 776 of the family's 1533-position model. The record is from RNAcentral.
UACGUAGGUGGCAAGCGUUAUCCGGAUUUAUUGGGCGUAAAGGGAACGCAGGCGGUCUUUUAAGUCUGAUGUGAAAGCCUUCGGCUUAACCGGAGUAGUGCAUUGGAAACUGAGAGACUUGAGUGCAGAAGAGGAGAGUGGAACUCCAUGUGUAGCGGUGAAAUGCGUAGAUAUAUGGAAGAACACCAGUGGCGGAAGCGGCUCUCUGGUCUGUAACUGACGCUGAGGUUCGAAAGCGUGGGUAGCAAACAGG